UAGGCAUAUGCCAUGUUCAAGGUCAUAAA
RNAcentral lists this non-coding RNA (29 nucleotides) under Mus musculus (house mouse). Lineage: Eukaryota; Metazoa; Chordata; Mammalia; Rodentia; Muridae. The record is from RNAcentral.